UAGUCCACGCUGUAAACGAUGAUUACUCGGUGCUAGCAAUAUACCGUUAGUGCCUAAGCGAAAGCGAUAAGUAAUCCACCUGGGGAGUACGGUCGCAAGAUUGAAACUCAAAGGAAUUGACGGGGGCCCGCACAAGCGGUGGAGCAUGUGGUUUAAUUCGAUGAUACGCGAGGAACCUUACCUGGGCUUAAAUGUAGAUUGACAGGCUGAGAAAUCAGUUUUUCUUCGGACAGUUUACAAGGUGCUGCAUGGUUGUCGUCAGCUCGUGCUGUGAGGUGUCGGGUUAAGUCCCAUAACGAGCGCAACCCCUAUCCUUAGUUGCCAGCGAGUAAUGUCGGGGACUCUAGGGAAACUGCCGGUGCAAACCGUGAGGAAGGUGGGGAUGACGUCAAAUCAUCACGGCCCUUACGUCCAGGGCUACACACGUACUACAAUGGCAGAAACAAACCGAAGCGAUAUUGCGAGAUGGAGCUAAACGGUAAAACACUGUCUCAGUCCGGAUUGAAGUCUGC
This 512-nucleotide ribosomal RNA is filed under the name uncultured bacterium. Its description in RNAcentral is "bacterial SSU rRNA". It matches the Rfam family "Bacterial small subunit ribosomal RNA", at positions 791 to 1308 of the family's 1533-position model. The record is from RNAcentral.